GGACACGACUCUUGACAAUGGAUAUCUCGGCUCUCGCAUCGAUGAAGAGCGCAGCGAAAUGCGAUACGUGGUGCGAAUUGCAGAAUCCCACGAACCAUCGAGUCUUUGAAUGCAAGUUGUGCCCGAGGCCUGCCGGCCGAGGGCAUGUCCGCCCGGGCGUCAAG
Molecule: ribosomal RNA, 164 nt
Filed under: Cymbidium sp. ZJL-2009
Lineage: Eukaryota; Viridiplantae; Streptophyta; Magnoliopsida; Asparagales; Orchidaceae
Description: 5.8S ribosomal RNA
Rfam family: 5.8S ribosomal RNA
About the family: 5.8S ribosomal RNA (5.8S rRNA) is a component of the large subunit of the eukaryotic ribosome. It is transcribed by RNA polymerase I as part of the 45S precursor that also contains 18S and 28S rRNA.
Source: RNAcentral